This is a long non-coding RNA of Oncorhynchus keta (chum salmon), 2829 nucleotides long. RefSeq lists it as uncharacterized. Lineage: Eukaryota; Metazoa; Chordata; Actinopteri; Salmoniformes; Salmonidae. The record is from RefSeq and is a predicted model, not a curated record. The transcript has 3 exons.
UCAUAAACCAGUAACAACUCAUUCUUUUUUUGAUUUCACCUUUAUUUAACCAGGUGGCCAGUUGAGAACAAGUUCUCAUUUACAACUGUGACCUGGCCAAGAUAAAGCAAAGCAGUGCGACACAAACAACACAGAGUUACACAUGGGAUAAACAAACGUACAAUCAAUAACACAAUAGAAAAGUAUAUAUACAGUGUGUGCAAAUGUAGUAAGAUUAGGCAGGUCAGGCAAUAAAUAGGCCAUAGUGGCGAAAUAAUUACAAUGUAGCAAUUAAACACUGGAGUGAUAGAUGUACAGAAAAUGAAUGUGCAAGUAGAUAUACUGGGGUGCAAAGGAGCAAAAGAAAAAAGAACAAUAUGGGGAUGAGGUAGUUGGAUGGGCUAUUUACUGAUGGGCUAUGUACAGGUGCAAUGAUCGGUAAGCUGCUCUGACAGCUGAUGCUUAAAGUUAGUGAGGGAGAUAUAAGUCUCCAGCUUCAGUGAUUUUUGCAAUUCAUUCCAGUCAUUGGCAGCAGAGAACUGGAAGGAAAGGCGGCCAAAGAGGAGUUGGCUUUCGGGGUGACCAGUGAAAUAUACCUGCUGGAGCGCAUGCUACGGGUGGGUGCUGCUAUGGUGCCCAGUGAGCUGAGAUAAGGCGGGCUUUACCUAGCAAAGACUUAUAGAUGACCUGGAGCCAGUGGGUUUGGCGACCAAUAUGAAGCGAGGGCCAGCCUACGAGAGCAUACAGGUCUCAGUGGUGGGUAGUAUAUGGGGCUUUGGUGACAAAACAGAUGGCACUGUGAUAGACUACAUCCAAUUUGCCGAGUAGAGUGUUGGAGGCUAUUUUGUAAAUGACUUCGCCGAAGUCAAGGAUUGGUAGUAUAGUCGGUUUUACGAGGGUGUGUUUGGCAGCAUGAAUGAAGGAUGCCUUGUUGCGAAAUAGGAAGCCAAUUCUAGAUUUAAUUUUGGAUUGGAGAUGCUUAAUGUGAGUCUGGAAGGAGAGUUUACCGUCUAACCAAACACCUAGGUAUUUGUAGUUGUCCACAUAUUCUAAGUCAGAACCGUCCAGAGUAGUGAUGCUAGACGGGCGAGCGGGUGCGGGCAGCGAUCGGUUGAAGAGCAUGCAUUUAGUUUUGCUUGCAUUUAAGAGUAGUUGGAGACCACAAAAGGAGAGUUGUAUGGCAUUGAAGCUCAUCUGGAGGUUUGUUAGCACGGUGUCCAAAGAAGGGCCAGAUGUAUACAGAAUGGUGUUGUCUGCAUAGAGGUGGAUCAGGGAAUCACCAGCAGCAUAAAUAAUAACUCAAUCUGGUAACUACUCUACUCUAUGGGAACUUGACUCGCUCUCAGUAAGAUGAGGAAGGUCAGUAACACUUUCUAUGAGGUAUAUAUGCAAAUAAGGCAUUAUAGUGCAUUAUACAACUUGCAUAAGCUGUCAUAACAACUCAUAAGUAGUUAUAACAUCCUUAUUCAGGAUCUUACUUAGGCCUACUCAAAACAAAAUAACAAUUGUUCAAAGUCUGCAUUGAGAGAGGUAAGAUGUUAUAAUCAUAUAACAUGUCAUGUGUCAUGUAACAGUGUGGAUACUAGGUGUAAUGUAACAGUGUGGAUGCUAGGUGUAAUGUAACAGUGUGGAUGCCAGGUGUAAUGUAACAGUGUGGAUGCCAGGUGUAAUGUAACAGUGUGGACACUAGGUGUAAUGUAACAGUGUGGAUGCUAGGUGUAAUGUAACAGUGUGGACACUAGGUGUAAUGUAACAGUGUGGACGCUAGGUGUAAUGUAACAGUGUGGACGCUAGGUGUAAUGUAACAGUGUGGACACUAGGUGUAAUGUAACAGUGUGGACACUAGGUGUAAUGUAACAGUGUGGACGCUAGGUGUAAUGUAACAGUGUGGACGCUAGGUGUAAUGUAACAGUGUGGACGCUAGGUGUAAUGUAACAGUGUGGACGCUAGGUGUAAUGUAACAGUGUGGACGCUAGGUGUAAUGUAACAGUGUGGACGCUAGGUGUAAUGUAACAGUGUGGACACUAGGUGUAAUGUAACAGUGUGGAUGCUAGGUGUAAUGUAACAGUGUGGACACUAGGUGUAAUGUAACAGUGUGGACACUAGGUGUAAUGUAACAGUGUGGAUGCUAUGUGUAAUGUAACAGUGUGGACACCAGGUGUAAUGUAACAGUGUGGACACUAGGUGUAAUGUAACAGUGUGGACACUAGGUGUAAUGUAACAGUGUGGACGCCAGGUGUAAUGUAACAGUGUGGACACUAGGUGUAAUGUAACAGUGUGGACACUAGGUGUAAUGUAACAGUGUGGACGCCAGGUGUAAUGUAACAGUGUGGACACUAGGUGUAAUGUAACAGUGUGGACACUAGGUGUAAUGUAACAGUGUGGACACUAGGUGUAAUGUAACAGUGUGGACACUAGGUGUAAUGUAACAGUGUGGACACUAGGUGUAAUGUAACAGUGUGGACACUAGGUGUAAUGUAACAGUGUGGACACUAGGUGUAAUGUAACAGUGUGGAUGCUAUGUGUAAUGUAACAGUGUGGACGCCAGGUGUUAUGUAACAGUGUGGACACUAGGUGUAAUGUAACAGUGUGGACACUAGGUGUAAUGUAACAGUGUGGACACUAGGUGUAAUGUAACAGUGUGGAUGCUAUGUGUAAUGUAACAGUGUGGAUGCUAGAUGUAAUGUAACAGUGUGGAAGCUUGGUGUAGCAAAUGUCUCCCAUUUGGAAAUAACUCUGGACCAUGCCAAUGUUCUGCCAACCAUGUCUUGUCAAUAUCUCCUAGUUGUCUUCAUCACUUUAGGGGACCUCUAUCUAACCACAGAGUUAAUCGCCCAGGGGUUCAUUCUU